Molecule: unclassified non-coding RNA, 322 nt
Filed under: uncultured fungus
Lineage: Eukaryota; Fungi
Description: partial contains small subunit ribosomal RNA, internal transcribed spacer 1, and 5.8S ribosomal RNA
Rfam family: Eukaryotic small subunit ribosomal RNA (bases 1-73)
Source: RNAcentral
UCAAACUUGGUCAUUUAGAGGAAGUAAAAGUCGUAACAAGGUCUCCGUUGGUGAACCAGCGGAGGGAUCAUUACCGAGUUUACAACUCCCAAACCCACUGUGAACCUAUACCUCUUACCGUUGCUUCGGCGGGUUUUUCGCCCCGGAACAGGCUACCCCCCUCCCCGUCGAGGGGGGCCGCCCGCCCGGAACCAGGCGCCCGCCGGGGGACCCAAACUCCUGUAUUUUGCACGCUGUGGCAUGUCUGAGUGGAAUCAUACACAAAUGAAUCAAAACUUUCAACAACGGAUCUCUUGGUUCUGGCAUCGAUGAAGAACGCAGC